RNAcentral lists this ribosomal RNA (791 nucleotides) under uncultured Methanosarcinaceae archaeon. Its description in RNAcentral is "partial 16S ribosomal RNA". The record is from RNAcentral. Lineage: Archaea; Methanobacteriati; Methanobacteriota; Methanomicrobia; Methanosarcinales; Methanosarcinaceae.
GUGCUCCCCCGCCAAUUCCUUUAAGUUUCAUCCUUGCGGGCAUACUCCCCAAGCAGCAGGCUUAACAACUUCUCUCCGGCACUGGGCGCCCACUAAGGACCCCCAACACCAAGCCCGCAGCGUUUACACCCUGGACUACCGGGGUAUCUAAUCCCGUUUGCGCCCCAGGGCUUCGUCCCUCACCGUCGGAUCCGUUCUAGUCAGACGCCUUCGCCACCGGUGGUCCUUCCAGGAUUACAGGAUUUUACCCCUACCCCAGAAGUACCUCUGACCUCUCCCGGUCCCAAGUCUCCCAGUCUCCCCGGACUUCGGACAGUUAAGCUGCCCGAUUUACCCAAGGAUUUAGAAGACCGGCUACGGACGUUUUAGGCUCAAUAAUAUCGACCACCACUUGGGGCGCGGGUAUUACCGCGGCGGCUGGCACCCGUCUUACCCGCCCCUUACUCCUCCUGUUUUUUAGACAGGAGAACAGCCAACACAAAGUGCUGGCACUUGGAAUUCCCUCGUCGGGGUUGCCCCCAUUGCGAAGUUUUCGCGACUGCUGCGCCCCGUAGGGCCUGGACUCAUGUCUCAGAGUCCAUCUCUGGGCUCCCUCUCUCAAGGCCCAUAUCCGUCACGGGCUAGUGGGUCCAUUACACCCACUACAGCCUGAUAGACCGCAGACCAAUCCUAAGGCACCGGAGUUUUCGGCCUGAAAGCAUUCCAGCACAUCAGACCUAUGGGGUAUUAUCCUCAGUUUCCCGAGAUUAUCCCCCACCUUAGGGCAUGUUAUCCACGUGUUACUGAGCCGU